GACGAACGCUGGCGGCGUGCUUAACACAUGCAAGUCGAACGCUGAAGCUUGGUGCUUGCACUGGGUGGAUGAGUGGCGAACGGGUGAGUAAUACGUGAGUAACCUGCCCUUGACUCUGGGAUAAGCCUGGGAAACUGGGUCUAAUACUGGAUACGACAUGUCACCGCAUGGUGGUGUGUGGAAAGGGUUUUACUGGUUUUGGAUGGGCUCACGGCCUAUCAGCUUGUUGGUGGGGUAAUGGCUCACCAAGGCGACGACGGGUAGCCGGCCUGAGAGGGUGACCGGCCACCCUGGGACUGAGACACGGCCCAGACUCCUACGGGAGGCAGCAGUGGGGAAUAUUGCACAAUGGGCGGAAGCCUGAUGCAGCGACGCCGCGUGAGGGAUGACGGCCUUCGGGUUGUAAACCUCUUUCAGCACGGAAGAAGCGAAAGUGACGGUACGUGCAGAAGAAGCGCCGGCUAACUACGUG
Molecule: ribosomal RNA, 472 nt
Filed under: uncultured bacterium
Lineage: Bacteria
Description: partial 16S ribosomal RNA
Rfam family: Bacterial small subunit ribosomal RNA
Source: RNAcentral